CGGGGUAUAGCUCAGAUGGCUAGAGCGCUAUGUUCGGGACGUAGAGGUCGCCCGUUCGAGUCGGGUUACCCCGA
RNAcentral lists this transfer RNA (74 nucleotides) under Patescibacteria group bacterium. RNAcentral describes it as "tRNA-Pro". The record is from RNAcentral.